This 710-nucleotide ribosomal RNA is filed under the name uncultured archaeon. RNAcentral describes it as "partial 16S ribosomal RNA". The record is from RNAcentral.
UCCACCCGUUGUGGUGCUCCCCCGCCAAUUCCUUUAAGUUUCAGCCUUGCGGCCGUACUUCCCAGGUGGCUCGCUUCACGGCUUCCCUACGGCACCGACAACGGUCGCACCGUGGCCGACACCUAGCGAGUAUCGUUUACGGCUAGGACUACCCGGGUAUCUAAUCCGGUUCGUGCCCCUAGCUUUCGUCCCUUGCCGUCAGGUCCGUUCUGGUGAGACGCCUUCGCCACUGGUGGUCCUUCAAGGAUUACAAGAUUUCACCCCUACCCCUGAAGUACCUCUCACCUCUCCCGGCCUCGAGCCGAACAGUAUCUCCUGAAAGCCCAACAGUUGAGCUGCUGGAUUUCUCAAGAGACUUAUCCGGCCGGCUACAGACCCUUUAGACCCAAUAAUAACGGUUACCACUCGAGCCGCCGGUGUUACCGCGGCGGCUGGGACCGGUCUUGCCCGGCCCUUGCUAUGCAAUGCUUUUUAGGCAUCACGACAGCCAGAUUUGUAACCUGGCACUCGAGGUCCCCUUAUCGCCGUUGCCGGCAUUGUAAAGUUUUCGCGCCUGCUGCACCCCGUAGGGCCUGGAUUCGUGUCUCAGAAUCCAUCUCCGGGCUCUUGCUCUCACAACCCGUACCCGUCGUAGGCUAGUAGGUACGCUACACCCACUACUACCUGAUAGGCCGCAGACCCAUCCUCUGGCGCCGGAGCUUUCGAUCUCG